GUGAGAAUCACAGUGCAGUUCUCCUCUGGCAUGGAUGCCAAUGUAGCAGGUCCUGGACAAUGGCCUAUGCUAUCACCGUCCCUGCCAAAGGAGAAUUGCCCUGCCAUUCAGUA
RNAcentral lists this microRNA precursor (113 nucleotides) under Triticum aestivum (bread wheat). RNAcentral describes it as "mir-399 microRNA precursor family". It matches the Rfam family "mir-399 microRNA precursor family". Rfam says of the family: mir-399 was identified in both Arabidopsis thaliana and Oryza sativa computationally and was later experimentally verified. mir-399 is thought to target mRNAs coding for a phosphatase transporter. The mature sequence is excised from the 3' arm of the hairpin. The record is from Rfam by way of RNAcentral. RNAcentral also lists the same sequence under 1 other name. Lineage: Eukaryota; Viridiplantae; Streptophyta; Magnoliopsida; Poales; Poaceae.